GAUGAACGCUGGCGGCGUGCCUAAUACAUGCAAGUCGAGCGAACGGACGAGGAGCUUGCUUCUCUGAUGUUAGCGGCGGACGGGUGAGUAACACGUGGAUAACCUACCUAUAAGACUGGGAUAACUUCGGGAAACCGGAGCUAAUACCGGAUAAUAUUUUGAACCGCAUGGUUCAAAAGUGAAAGACGGUCUUGCUGUCACUUAUAGAUGGAUCCGCGCUGCAUUAGCUAGUUGGUAAGGUAACGGCUUACCAAGGCAACGAUGCAUAGCCGACCUGAGAGGGUGAUCGGCCACACUGGAACUGAGACACGGUCCAGACUCCUACGGGAGGCAGCAGUAGGGAAUCUUCCGCAAUGGGCGAAAGCCUGACGGAGCAACGCCGCGUGAGUGAUGAAGGUCUUCGGAUCGUAAAACUCUGUUAUUAGGGAAGAACAUAUGUGUAAGUAACUUUGCACAUCUUGACGGUACCUAAUCAGAAAGCCACGGCUAACUACGUG
RNAcentral lists this ribosomal RNA (497 nucleotides) under uncultured bacterium. RNAcentral's name for it is "partial 16S ribosomal RNA". It matches the Rfam family "Bacterial small subunit ribosomal RNA", at positions 28 to 507 of the family's 1533-position model. The record is from RNAcentral.